RNAcentral lists this long non-coding RNA (777 nucleotides) under Rattus norvegicus (Norway rat). Its description in RNAcentral is "long non-coding RNA NONRATT005227". Lineage: Eukaryota; Metazoa; Chordata; Mammalia; Rodentia; Muridae. The record is from RNAcentral.
AAUGACCCAAGGCUGUGACUUCUUUUAAAUCUCCCAGGCUUAUGCCCAGUUCUCAGUACUGUGGCAAUGCGGGGACCAUGAAGUGGAGGUCCCACUGAGAUUGGGAAAGAGAGGAAUCCCUGAUGGGAUCGUUGGAGGAAGCCAGCCAGCGAAGUGGAAGGAACAUAAUGGGUGAGUGGUGCAGUGACAAACCAAAGGAUUGAACCAGACCCUGUAAUGCCAGUUACUCCCAGGGCUGCCUAUAGGCAAAUGAGACAUAAGACCUAAGUGAGGAGGAAGCAGCAGGAGUCACAGGACCACCAGUUGGAGCUUGAGAUCAAUAAAAUAACUAGCUACUCCUCUUUUCCUGUGAGCUUCUAAGGAGUGGAAGGAAGACGGGAAAUGUUACCAGAUACAGCUGGCCUCAGGCUCAUGAGCAGCACCAACCAGUCCAGUGUCUCCGAGUUCCUCCUCCUGGGACUCUCCAGGCAGCCCCAGCAGCAGCAGCAGCUCCUCUUCCUGCUCUUCCUCACCAUGUACCUGGCCACUGUCCUGGGAAACCUGCUCAUCAUUCUGGCCAUUAGCACAGACUCCCACCUACACACCCCCAUGUACUUCUUCCUCAGCAACCUGUCCUUUGUGGAUGUCUGCUUCUCCUCCACCACUGUCCCCAAGACAACAUCAUCCCCCACUUCUUCUGCGAUGCAACUCCCCUCCUGAAACUCUCCUGCUCAGACACACAUCUCAAUGAACUGAUGAUUCUUACAGAGGGAGCUGUGAUCAUUGUCACCCCAUUUG